AAUGGUUUCAUGACUUCAUGAGUUGAUCAAAGAGAUGUAUUUUCCCUCGUUUUAUUUAUAAUAUAAUGUAAUAACAAGUCGUUUUCCUUUCUUCCGAAGCACGGUUUUAUUUCAUCAGUUCAAGAGGUAAAGAUACCAUUCUGGGUCGAGCCUCCUUCUAUGUUCCGGUUUUGGUAUUGAAAUUGGAGCAGAAGGAUAAAAAAACUAAAAUCCAAACAUAUCGAUUAAUUUAAUUAGUAUUAAACAAUGUAAUAAUUUUUGAAGAAAAUUCAAAAACCAAAAUAUUUUAAGAUUAUUUUACGAAACCACAGCGCACAUAUUGACUUACAAACUUAUGAAAUAUUGCGAUGUUAUGAUUGAGGCAUUUAUGUGAACUAUAAGCAAUUAUCAAUUAUUUAAUUUCUUUUAAACAACUUGUGUCCUUUAUUUGUUUCAAUUUCGCGUUUGUUGAUUUGUAACACAGUUAAUUCGUUUUGAUGCCUAUUUUUUAAUUGUUAUUUACCUUGUGAACACACACACGAGCCAACAAAUGAUUUAUAUCCUUACUUGCGCUAGAGCAGGCUGUAAUGAAAUCUUGCAAAGGUUUCGCCACGAACUUUCCCCACCAACAACAUACUAUACACUGCUCAAAACUCGUCAACUUUUGCUGCAACUACCAGGCCCGUUCCUGGGCGCUAUUGCUUUCAUUCCCGGAACUGCUUCGAACGCUACAACGAACGAUUCUGUGAAGGAAAUUUGAAGCCCAGCUCAAAUUGAAUUUCCGUGUGAACGGCUAAUGGCCGGCGGGUGCGUCCCUCGGGACACUUGUCGCUUUCGGCGCAUUUCGACAUUGAUUGAAUGAUGAGUGAAUGCUUUCGGAUGCUUGUCAGAAGCGAUUGCUGUCCAGAAUGGUGAGAAUCGGUUCGGGCACAGGAAAGCGUACCGUGGCAGGAAGAAGGAACCUGACUUUUUAGCGAACGGUAAAAUGGAACAAAGUUUACCGGUUACAUCAGUGGAUUAAAAAGUUUACUCCAACGAGUGCCUCUUGUACUAUGUAGUGGUGUAUUCGGUUUUAAAGUGAAUGCUAUGACUUGCCACAUUUCUGGCAAGCAGCAGAAACUUUAAUGAUCAGAUGUUGGCGUUUAAUAAAAGAUGAACAUUAAA
This is a long non-coding RNA of Anopheles funestus (African malaria mosquito), 1143 nucleotides long. RefSeq lists it as uncharacterized. The record is from RefSeq and is a predicted model, not a curated record. The transcript is spliced from 2 exons. Lineage: Eukaryota; Metazoa; Arthropoda; Insecta; Diptera; Culicidae.